This is a long non-coding RNA of Hippocampus comes (tiger tail seahorse), 653 nucleotides long. RefSeq lists it as uncharacterized. The transcript is spliced from 2 exons. The record is from RefSeq and is a predicted model, not a curated record. NCBI's taxonomy places the organism in Eukaryota, Metazoa, Chordata, Actinopteri, Syngnathiformes, Syngnathidae.
CACACACACACACACACACACACACACACACACACACACACACAUGCAAUGAAUAUCGACGUUGACAGAGUGAUGUCAUUAGGCGGCAUUCUUCCCUGGGGGAUUAUGCAAAUGAGGAAGCGAUUAAAGGGCAGAGAAGACUUGAUGAUGACUUGACGGGUGCAAACUGUGUUCCUGCUAAUUGGAUAGGACAUGGUUUCGACUUUUUGUGCUUGUCUAAUUUCCUUUCUCUUCUUACCAUACACGUCUUCUACUCAUGGCAUUUUUUUUGCACACAUUCAGAAGUGUCUUCAGGUGCUUUGCUCCUAAAAUACUAGAUUUGUGGACUUCAAUGAUUCAAUGAGCAGAAAACCAUUUUGUUCGGUCUCAUUGACUGUCAUGCAAAACACAUAUUUACAUAUCUUGGUGGGGAAAAACAACAUCACGUGUGCUUUCAUACUGUAUCAUCAGAAGCAUAUCUCCAAUGUCUCCAUUGUGAGACUGACAGGCUUAAUCAAUUCAGUUAAAUGCAUAAUAUUAUGCAGCAUAGAACAAAUGUCAUUUAUUUAUUUACACCUUAGAUCGAAGAAUACUGACGACUACACUAAAUAUGAUGUUGAUAAACCACAUUCGUUGUCAAAAUUUAAGAAGAUAUUAACGGCAACGUAAUCUAA